GACGAACGCUGGCGGCGUGCCUAAUACAUGCAAGUCGAACGCACCUAUCCUCACGUUUCCCUGCACUCAAUAGGAACGAGGAGUGGAGGAACGCGGAGAAACCCGUUGUAAACCUACCCAACAGAUGGGGAAAACACUAGGAAACAGGUGCUAAUAUCUUAAAACAUUUUCUUCCGCAUGGCAAAAGAGUUUUCCGGGCAUUUCGGGGUGGCUCCUGGCCGCACCCGCGGUGCGUUAACUAGUUGGUUAGGUAACGGCUCACCAAGGCGACGACGCGUAGCCGACCUGAGAGGGUGAUCGGCCACACUGGAACUGAGACACGGCCCAGACUCCUACGGGAGGCAGCAGUAGGGAAUCUUCGGCAAUGGACGAAAGUCUGACGGAGCAACGCCGCGUGAGUGAUGAAGGUCUUCGGAUCGUAAAACUCUGUUGUUAGGGAAGAACAAGUGUGUAAGUAACUGUGCGCGCCUUGACGGUACCUAACCAGAAAGCCACGGCUAACUACGUG
RNAcentral lists this ribosomal RNA (508 nucleotides) under uncultured bacterium. RNAcentral's name for it is "partial 16S ribosomal RNA". It matches the Rfam family "Bacterial small subunit ribosomal RNA", at positions 28 to 507 of the family's 1533-position model. The record is from RNAcentral.